This is a long non-coding RNA of Myotis myotis, 396 nucleotides long. RefSeq lists it as uncharacterized. The transcript is spliced from 2 exons. Lineage: Eukaryota; Metazoa; Chordata; Mammalia; Chiroptera; Vespertilionidae. The record is from RefSeq and is a predicted model, not a curated record.
CAGGUGCUUAACAUACUUCUCAUUUUCCUCAGCUUCAGAACCGCACCGGGAAGGAUGGCUACAUUGCAAGGCGGAGGACACUGAGAUUCAGGAGGUGUCUGUUAUCUCCCCGGCUCUACAAGGUGAGGGCAGCAGCUCUGGGCAGGAUGGGAAAGCUUCUCUCGUCGGAAGAUAUCGUCUUGCGUCUGGCCCCACCUGCAUCACAGCCCCUGGAAGCAGCGGGGUGGAAGGCUGGUCAGGUAGGCAAGUGACAGUAUGUGUCACAUUGAGGAUGGGACGGGGUGUCGGCAGCAGCCUUGACGAGGUUCAUCAAUCAAUCAGUAUUGACUGUACAACACCCAGUACAGAAAACCAUGCUGUGAAUAUUCAGGGGGAAAGACAAAAAAAAAAGGAUGG